AAUAAUAGCAAAAUGAUGAGCGACAGCGGUGUUGUCACAUCAGGAGUGAGUGAAGAGGCAACCACUGAGAUGAUAAGCCGCACUGACACUGAGCACCCAUCCUCCAGGAGGAGAUCAUAGGAGGAGGUAAUAUUCCUCCUCCACUUCCUCCUCCCAGCGGAUCGUGCUUCGGGGUGAUGAGGGCGCUCUAGUGGUCCUCUCAGACC
Molecule: non-coding RNA, 206 nt
Organism: Pimephales promelas (fathead minnow)
Lineage: Eukaryota; Metazoa; Chordata; Actinopteri; Cypriniformes; Leuciscidae
Source: RefSeq, a predicted model, not a curated record